CCUGCCCAAGAGAUCGGGAUAACACCUGGAAACAGAUGCUAAUACCGGAUAACAACAGAUGAUGCCUAUCAACUGUUUAAAAGAUGGUUCUGCUAUCACUAUUGGAUGGACCUGCGGUGCAUUAGCUAGUUGGUAGGGUAACGGCCUACCAAGGCGAUGAUGCAUAGCCGAGUUGAGAGACUGAUCGGCCACAUUGGGACUGAGACACGGCCCAAACUCCUACGGGAGGCAGCAGGA
This 237-nucleotide ribosomal RNA is filed under the name uncultured Lactobacillus sp. Its description in RNAcentral is "partial 16S ribosomal RNA". It matches the Rfam family "Bacterial small subunit ribosomal RNA", at positions 125 to 354 of the family's 1533-position model. The record is from RNAcentral. Lineage: Bacteria; Bacillati; Bacillota; Bacilli; Lactobacillales; Lactobacillaceae.